Molecule: ribosomal RNA, 253 nt
Filed under: uncultured bacterium
Lineage: Bacteria
Description: partial 16S ribosomal RNA
Rfam family: Bacterial small subunit ribosomal RNA
Source: RNAcentral
UACAGAGGGGGCAAGCGUUGUUCGGAAUUACUGGGCGUAAAGGGCGCGUAGGCGGCCUGCUAAGUCGAACGUGAAAUCCCUGGGCUCAACCCAGGAACUGCGUCCGAUACUGGUUGGCUUGAAUCCGGGAGAGGGACGUGGAAUUCCCAGUGUAGCGGUGAAAUGCGUAGAUAUUGGGAGGAACACCAGUGGCGAAGGCGGCUCACUGGACCGGAACUGACGCUGAGGCGCGAAAGCGUGGGGAGCAAACAGG